Molecule: non-coding RNA, 91 nt
Organism: Cucumis sativus (cucumber)
Lineage: Eukaryota; Viridiplantae; Streptophyta; Magnoliopsida; Cucurbitales; Cucurbitaceae
Source: Rfam
UUUGGAUCGAUGAUGUGAUUUCAAAUCUGCGUUAUCUAUCUGCAAUUUCCUUUUAGGAAUUGAAGAUAACCUAUCAUUUCUGAGAUCUGUU